Molecule: long non-coding RNA, 307 nt
Filed under: Homo sapiens (human)
Lineage: Eukaryota; Metazoa; Chordata; Mammalia; Primates; Hominidae
Description: non-protein coding lnc-KLF14-3:1
Source: RNAcentral
AUGUCUGGCUGAGGCAAAGGUGGAAAAGGACUGGGUAAGGAAGGAACUAAGUGUCACUGCAAGGUCCUACGUAUGACAGCCUGCAAGGCAUCUAUCUGCAAGCCUCCUAUCUGGCAUCUUGCUUGGUGUGAUGGUGUCAAGAGCAUUUCUGGCCUCAUCUAUGAGGAGAUCCAGGAGGUUUUGAAGGUGUUUCUGGAGAAUGUGAUCCAGGAUGAUGUCACACCAAGCAUGCCAAGUGCAAGAUGUAACAGCCAUGGGCGUAGUCUAUGUGUUUAAGUGGCAGGGGUGCACCCUUUAUGGCUUUGGU